GGGGAAUUUUGGACAAUGGGGGCAACCCUGAUCCAGCCAUGCCGCGUGAGUGAAGAAGGCCUUCGGGUUGUAAAGCUCUUUCGGCGGGGAAGAAAUGGCAACGGCUAAUAUCCGUUGUUGAUGACGGUACCCGCAUAAGAAGCACCGGCUAACUACGUGCCAGCAGCCACCCGUAGGAUACGAGCGUUAAUCGGAAUUACUGGGCGUAAAGCGUGCGCAGGCGGUUUCGUAAGACAGACGUGAAAUCCCCGGGCUCAACCUGGGAACUGCGUUUGUGACUGCGAGGCUAGAGUACGGCAGAGGGCGGUGGAAUUCCUGGUGUAGCAGUGAAAUGCGUAGAUAUCAGGAGGAACACCGAUGGCGAAGGCAGCCCCCUGGGCCUGUACUGACGCUCAGGCACGAAAGCGUGGGGAGCAAACA
RNAcentral lists this ribosomal RNA (420 nucleotides) under uncultured Azospira sp. RNAcentral's name for it is "bacterial SSU rRNA". It matches the Rfam family "Bacterial small subunit ribosomal RNA", at positions 356 to 774 of the family's 1533-position model. Lineage: Bacteria; Pseudomonadati; Pseudomonadota; Betaproteobacteria; Rhodocyclales; Rhodocyclaceae. The record is from RNAcentral.